GACGAACGCUGGCGGCGUGCUUAACACAUGCAAGUCGAACGGAAAGGCCCUGCUUUUGUGGGGUGCUCGAGUGGCGAGCGGGUGAGUAACACGUGAGUAACCUGCCCUUGACUUUGGGAUAACUUCAGGAAACUGGGGCUAAUACCGGAUAGGAGCUCCUGCUGCAUGGUGGGGGUUGGAAAGUUUCGGCGGUUGGGGAUGGACUCGCGGCUUAUCAGCUUGUUGGUGGGGUAGUGGCUUACCAAGGCUUUGACGGGUAGCCGGCCUGAGAGGGUGACCGGCCACAUUGGGACUGAGAUACGGCCCAGACUCCUACGGGAGGCAGCAGUGGGGAAUAUUGCACAAUGGGCGGAAGCCUGAUGCAGCAACGCCGCGUGCGGGAUGACGGCCUUCGGGUUGUAAACCGCUUUCGCCUGGGACGAAGCGUGAGUGACGGUAAUGGGUAAAGAAGCACCGGCUAACUACGUG
This 468-nucleotide ribosomal RNA is filed under the name uncultured bacterium. RNAcentral's name for it is "partial 16S ribosomal RNA". It matches the Rfam family "Bacterial small subunit ribosomal RNA", at positions 28 to 507 of the family's 1533-position model. The record is from RNAcentral.